RNAcentral lists this long non-coding RNA (7597 nucleotides) under Nicotiana tabacum (common tobacco). Its description in RNAcentral is "long non-coding RNA (NTAB_LNC000182)". The record is from RNAcentral. Lineage: Eukaryota; Viridiplantae; Streptophyta; Magnoliopsida; Solanales; Solanaceae.
AGGCGAAACUUCAUCUUCUUCAUGGAGGAGCACCCAAAAUAUUUCAGCGGCUAGAACCAAAACUCAGACGCCUAAAAGAUCUGGGAGUGCCUUUAUUAAAAAUAAAAAAAACCACAGACCCCCUUCAUCAUAACAUCUCUCACGCUAAUUACCUACCACCCAACGGCCAGAACACCUUCGAACUCACCUUCACGCAAGCCUGAAAAUCAACCACCCUCCAUUAAUCUCCAUGUUGAACUGUCACUGCUGAUCUCUUCUUCUUCUGCAACUCCCCUGAAAUCAACCUAAAAUCACACACACACAAAGAUCUCCAUCGCGACUGCUCCUUCUUCUUCGUCUAUCGCAGCCACAACAACCUCGAAACCUACUUGAGUGCUUCAAUGUUGGUUCGAGUUUGUUUCCGGUCGCUGGUUUGAGAUUUCCAUCUUAGUCUUCGGCUUACAGUCUGUUCGUGUUUGGCCAUAGUGUUGCGUUCUUCUUAUAACCAGUUGGAAGAUCUUAAUAUAUCGAAAAGAUUCAAAGGUCCGUUGUUAUCUUCUUUAUAUUUUUUCUUGGAUGGUUAAAUAUCUAUAAUCUGUUAUGGCUUGCUAAAUAUUUUUUCGUAGAAGUCAUUUUCACUUAGUUGGUUUCAUGUUUGUUACUUCGUCUUCUUGUUAAUUAAGGAAAUUGCAAAAAAUUAGUUGAAUAAUGAGGGGAUUAGCAAUAAUAGACCAUGUGAAUGUUGGUUGAAAUUUAUUUAAGUUCAACGUACGUUUGUAUCCUACGUGCUUUAUGAGAAAUUUUUAAAACCUUUAAAUCUGAUUUGGUACAUUAGUUAGUGGUUGAUAUCGUGUUUUUGAUUCUUGGUAAAAUUGGCAAAAUCUGGUUAUUUUUGCCUUUUAACGUUAAAUAAAUUAAUGCGUGCCAUGCCAAAUAAAAUCCCUAAUCCCACGGCCCUCAAUUAAUUUUAACUCUUUAGAAAAUCGAGGUGCGCCAUCAGUUGAAUUUUCCAUGGCACUCACAAAUUUGAAAGUGCGUAGUUGCUUUAGACGCGCUAUUUUAAAAAUUACUUACUUAAACUCGAGUGUGCAUUUCAUGUGACCUAAAUCCAAAUCUCAACAACGUUAGAUAAAAUAUGUUGCGGACCGUGGGUGCAUUUCAUGUGGCGUGGUCCAAGGCGUGUUUUAAAUAGCGUUGAAUCUUCUUAAAAAUGAUUAGAAGCGGUUAAUAAUUUAAGAUCUACCAUAGGCUAAAACAUGUAUUAAAAUCAGAUAAUAGGCCAAUUAUAACAGUUGAGCGACCUUGCUAGAACCAUGGAACUCGGGAAUGUCUAACACCUUCUCCCGGGUUAACAGAAUUCCUUACCCGUAUUUUUGUGUUCGCGGACUGUAAUACAAAGUCAACCUUUUCCUCGAUUCGGGAUUUGAACCGGUGACUUGGGACACCAUGAACUAUCCCAAGUGGUGACUCUGAAUGUAAUAAAUAAAUAAUCCCUUUUCAAUUGUCACUUUAAGUUGGAAAAAACUACCUAUAUACUCCCUUACAGGGUGUAUGUAAAAAGGAGGUGUGACAAUCACCAUUGAAGAAUGUCAUUUUGAUAUCCAUUUGAUGAACAUGUAGGUCAUAAAUAGAUUCUAACGCAAAUAUAAUUCCAAUUAAUGUAAUUCUUGCUACCUUUACAUAUGUAUCAAAAUAAUCAAUUCCUUCUUUUUAUCGAAAGCCAUUACCAACUAAUCUAUCUUUGUAAGUAUGUAAAGUCUCAUCAGUAUGAUACUUUCUCUGAAACACCCAGUUACAAUUGAUAGGUUCAGAAAUUGGAGGAAGAUCAACAAGUUUCUAAGUGUGGUUUGAUAUUAUUGGAUCCAUUUCAUCUUUAAUAGCAAAUUUCCAAAAGGCUGCAUCUUUAUAAGCCAUAGCCUCUCUAUAAGUUUUAGGAUCAUCUUCCACUUGAAGAAUAAUUGAAAUUGUUCUCACAAAUGUAUCUUUAUUACUUUCAACAAGCCUAAAAGAAAUAUGUUGAGAGUCAACCUCAUAUGAUCCAAGUAUUUUAGCCUUUCGAACUCUAGUGCUUCUCCUUCGUUCACAAGGAUGAUCAUUAACCUCCUGUGAACUAGAUUGAUUAACAAUAUUUUGAAAUAUUUUUCUAAUGUUACAUCAGUUGACAAAGAUUGAAAUUUUCUACCCGAGGAUAAAAGAUAUUAAAAAAAUUCUACAUAUCUAGCUUCAAUAAUGUAAUUUUACUACAAAUUAAGAAGUUGAUAACCUUUUAUAUUUGAGGCAUAACCUAUAAAUGCACACUUGAUCCCUCUAGGGCCCAACUUGGUCCAAUUUUGAUCAUUACUUUUGCAAUAUGCAAGACACCCUCUGUAACGAUCCGAUUAGUCGUUUUCAGCAUUAAGGCUCCGUUCAUUGGUUCGAGUUUGCUAUUGACUUCAUGUUGUGAAUUAUGGCUUGCGUACAUGGUCGGAUUUGAUUUUCGGAUGUUUCAGGAUGUAUUUGGAUGAGUGAUUCUUACUUUAGAGGUUUAAGUUGAAAAUAAUGACUAUGAUUUGACUUUUGAUAAACGACACCGGAACAAUGCUUUUAUGGCUCCGAAAACUUCAUACUGUGAUUUUGGACUAGGGCGCAUGCCCGAAAUCGAAUUCGAAGGUCUGUAGGUUGAUAAUUUGUGUUGUUUUGCCAAAUAUUGGCAAUUUAAAGGAUUAGAAUUUUGAUAAGUUUGACCGUUGGUUGACUUCACAGCUAUUUUGUUUAGAUUUCUAUUUCAGGAAUUGGAAUAGGUCCGUUUUGUCAUUAAAAAUUUAUCUGCAAAGUCUGGCGUCAUUCAUAGUUGAUUUGAUAGGAAUCAGACGUGCGGUUGUAUUUUUAGAAGUUCCGGAGUUUCAUGUGUUUUGGAGGUCCGAUUCAUUGAUUCAAAUGUUAUUUUGAUGAUUUGAUCGCGCGAGCAAGUUCAGUUUAUGUUUUUAGACUCGUCUCGAUGUUUUCUUUGCAGCCCUAAGGGCUCGGGUGAGUUUCAGACGCAUUUCUGAGAGUUCAUUGAAAGUUCAGAUUUUGCUGGUGCUCUGAUCUCACAAUUGCGAGAAAUAUGUCACGUUUUCAACUAUCACAUUUGUGGUGUUGAUGGUCAAUUUUGACCCUUCCUUUUAAAAUUAAUUUAUUCAUACUUAAAUAUCUACAAUAAAUAUUUUAAAAGUAUUUUCCAUCAAUAAAUAGUUGUUUUAUAAAACAAAUUGAAUAUUAGUUUCGAAAUUAAUCACCUAUAAUUAACAUUAUGUAAUUAUGAAUUUACUUACUACAUUAAACAUCAUUAAAAAAAUUCUAAAAUACACCAUCUAGGCUUUAUAAUUAAUUUCGUGAAUUAUUUCUUAAAAUCCAAUUAAUUAGAUUGUUCUGUUAGAAAUUAGUGUUAUAAUUUAGAAUACAAAGUAUUUUAGAAAUAAUUAACAAAAAUAAUUGGUAGUAUAUUUAGUGAUUAUAAUUUCUACUAUAUUUUAUUGAAAUUGUUUAAAUUAAUUUUAAGGGGGUUAAAAGGUGAAAAGGCUACAAUUGCAAAUCUCUAAUUAAACACAAGAUGACCAUCCUUUAAAUUCAUUUGGCCCAAAUGACAAGCCCAACCUGGAAAAAGCACCUAGUCUAAAGACCCUCUAAGCCAUUGUGGCGAUCCGCAUCUGUCACUACCCAAAAUUCAACUAGCCGUGAUCGCACCUAAACCAAUCCGCUAAGUAAGUCAAUUAAUAAUAAACCAAUUCCAGUGUAAUUUGAAGAGACAAUAAUGAUGAAAUAACUGUGCUUUUAUACAAAAUCCCAAGGACUGGUAGUACAAAUCACGAGCUUCUAAGAUUUAGAGUUUAGAAAGCUGGUAUGACCGGAAUGCAGGUAUGUCUUCAAUGCUAGCUCCCGCCAUACACAGCAACAUCAGCAUAAAUAAUCUGCACGCAAAGUGCAGAAGUGUAAUAUGAGUACAACCAACUCCAUGUACUCAAUAAGUAACAAAUCUAACCUUAUGUUGAAAGUAGUGACGAGCUUGGACAAGAUCGGAGUCCAAGACCAAUAGUCAACAACAUUUCAUAACAAUAUAAUAAAAGUGAUAAAAGAAGUAACCCAGAGAUGUGAUGCUCAGCUCAUUAACAGUUACUUAAAAUAGUCAUACUUCUCAGGUAUAACAGUAAAACCUAAAUCCUUCACCAAAAUAAACCAAAAUACGUGUAAGUCAGAAACCUUUGAUAUUUCCCAAAAAACCUUCAACAAUAAAUAAGAUGUUUCAUUAUCAGAUAGCAUAAGGAAAGUACUUCUCUAUGCCUACAUAUAAGUGUGCACGUGAAAUCAUGAAUGUCACCAAAACUGUGUAGAAUGAGAAAAUGCAUCUCGAUGCAUGUACGCCAAGUAUGCAUGUCAAAUGCAAUGCAUCACAGCGAUGAACUCAUGUACUCAUUGUCACGACCCAAAAUCCAACUAGUCAUGAUGACACCUAACCCAACCCGCUAGGUAAGUCAAGUAACAACUAUCCAAUUUCAUGAGAUUGAUUAAGAGAAGAAAUGACAAUACAACUGCUUUUAUACAAGAACUUCCCAAGGACUGGUCGUAGAAAUCAUGAGCUUCUAAGAUUUAGAUUUUUUUACAAGACUGAAUUGAAAUAAUUACAACAUCUGCUUGAAAUGUAAAUGAAUAGAACACGAAAACAAUGCUACCAAGGACAAGUGAUAGUUAUCAGUAGAAUGCAGGUACAUCUUCAGAGCCAGCUCCCGUCGUAUGCAAUAACAUCAGCAUCCAACAUAUGCACGCAAGGUGUAGAAGUGUAGGAGAUGAAUAGGAGUGAUGUUUCUUCUACUUGGACAUUCAUGCAUCAUAUAUCCCCUUCCUUUACAUUUAUAACAUUGAAUAGAACUAGAAGGUGUAGAAGGUUUAGAGUUAAAGCACAAAUGUUACAUCCCACAUUUUCACACGUUAAAGGUGUCGUGAUUUAGUUGUCAUACGAUCAGAGAUCAAGAUUAUUCUCAAGUUCAGGAGUGUCUAAAACCAUGCAUGGUGUUGAUAACCAAUUUUUCCCUCAUAUAUUUCAUAUAUGCAUAUAAACUUUCAAAAUAGUGCAUGAGCAUCAUCAAUAUUUUUUCCUAAUAUUUUCAUAAAUUUAAAAGAUUUUUAAUUAAUUUAUUCCCAUAUUUUAUUGUGUAAAUAAUUAUUAAUUGCAUAACAGAUAAUUUAUAUGAUUAUCUUAUUAUCUAAUCUCACCAUUUAUAUCCAUAUUAAGGCUUAAAUAUUUUUUUAUACAUUUAUCACAAAUAGAUUUGCAUUUUUAAGGCUAAAAUUGUACAUUUUGCAAUAAUAGCCUGUAUAUACUUAUAAUUACAUUAUUUUUGCAAUUUUUUUAUAUUUUUAUAGUGUUAAAUAAUUAUCAUUAAUCGUUUUUAUGAACAAAUAAUAUUUUUACUAAUUUAUUUAUCAUUUUUUACAAAUUCUUUUAUUAAUUAAAUUUGGUAUUUAACUAAUAGCCACUAAAUUCACUAAUUUCGGACCUAAACUACCAACGCCUUAGCCCAUUUACCUAAAACACCUACCCAAAUUCUUGUCCCAAUACUUAAGCCCAAUCCAUAACCCAGUCCGAAACCAACCCAGCCCUUCAACGGCUCAUAUCACUCCCUUCCUUUUAAUUAACCUACCUAUCCCAAACCCUAACCCUCAUUAUCUUAGCCCCUCGCUCUUUAUAAUAUCUCGAACCUUCACCUCAUUCUAUCAAACCCUAGCGUCGUCACCCUCAAAUCUCUCCCAUUCCGGCUCAAACAUGGAAUCAGUCCAUGAUUUACUUACCUAUUUUGUGUUACUCUAUCAUUAUACGCUCGUCUAUGGUGUUACUUAGAUUCUAUCCCUAUUUUUGGCAAGAACUACCUCAAUAAAGAAUAGAUUCACCCUGAUUUUGUGAAGAUCGGGAUGAUCUUUCGUCGAUAUAUAUGUUUUAUUGAACGAUUAUUGCAUCUCUGGUCCGAUUCAAAGCAUCGGUCUCAACUAGGGUUUGAGACCUUUCCUUGUUCUUUAUUAAUUUCUGAUUGAUACUCUUUCCUUUCUCGCAUGUGACUAAUAUUUUCCUUAUUUGUGUUCAAUCUACCGUGUUUCCUUUAUUUUUACCUUAUUUGCCUUAAAUAUGAUAGUUAAUCGAUUCUUAUGUGAUAUUUUCCUUAUUCUCUAUUGUAUACCCUUAUUUUAAUUGUUACUCGCCUGAUUACAUGCUAGUAUUCUCUGUUAAUAUACUGAACUCUUUGUUUAUGUAUUAUUUGCCCUAAAAAAUUAGAUCCUAAUUGAUUCUUUGUUUAAUACUUACCAUGUUUCAUGUUUAUACUAUACUACUAUAUAAACCCCUUCCCUUUAUCAUUUAGGACAGACUAGAAAUCAAUAUACCCUCACUGAUAAAGUUAAGAUUUGGCUUUGUGCUCUCUUUGCUAUCUCGUUCUAUCUAUGGUUUGGCCGGCUGAAAGCCAAGGCCAAAUAUUCUGGGUUCUCGACUAUUGUAGUGUUAUUCUUACUUUUCUUGCCUAACUGGUGAGUGAAUAUCUUUUGUCAUUUCAUUCCUAUGUAUCCAUGACCUGUGUUUAUGAUCUAACAUGUUUACAAUCCAUUUUGAGCAUGAUUCUACUACUUCUAUGUUCCUAUGAUUUCCUUUAGACCUAUAAUUGAUACUGUUAGUUCUAAGAUUAGUUGUUUUAUAAUAGUGUGAAUCCUCUUAGAGGUUAACUUAAUGACUUUUAAAUUAUUUCAUUUAUGUUGUUUUGGUAGUUCUGAAUGUAUUGUGAACUUAGGAUCUUCAUGAUAAUACUAGUAUGUUCACCAGUUAAUCAGUCUUAAGUCUUUACAAUCUUGUAUUGUUAUUAAACCUUUCUCUGUCAUUCAUGUGCCCUGAUAACUUACCUUCUAAUGUGUUUUGUAUCCACUUAGAUUCAUGUGAUUAUCUGAUUGUUUGCCUUAAUGCAUCGUUUAAAUGUUUUCUGUGAUUGAACCAAGCUGUCUUAAAAUGUUAGCAUGUACACUUAGCCUAAUUAGGCCAUUCAGACUUUAAGUCAUUAGAUACUGUGCAUGAACAACUUUGCAAAUCUUACCAAUUUGUCUUCUCAAUGCAAUUCGGCCUAUGUAUUAUGUGUUUUAAACUCUGUCACGAUGGCUUUUUUUAAAAUCAAACCUGUCUUAAAAAUUGUCUCUUUGUGUGUUGCUACCUUAAACUCCUAUUCUUAGGUCCUGUAGGUUCUAUCUUUUACCUCCCCAGUGUGAGCACUGCUCGGGGUCCAUGUGAGACUCUUGUGUACUCUGACACACUAGGGUUUGGUUCCUAACCUCCUUUGAAUUAUUUCUGAGCAUUUGUUCCUCUAGUGUGAGCAUUGCCCUGUGUCCUUGAAGCCCUUGGAAACUUUGACACACUAGAGAUUUGGAUACUAUUGUGAUUAUUCUAUACCUGUGAAUGUGAGCUUUGGAGCUACUAUGGUUUGAAGGCCUAGGUUGCCCUGGUGUAUUUGGGCCUGUUGUAGUCUCUCUAUAGUUUAUUUCAUUAUUAUGUAAUUCAUUCAUUAAUCUGGUUUGCAAUAAUUUUGUAACAAACAACUCUGGGGUAUUUAGUAAAAUCGAGAAGGGUUUCUUA